RNAcentral lists this long non-coding RNA (354 nucleotides) under Sorghum bicolor (sorghum). RNAcentral's name for it is "long non-coding RNA (SBIC_LNC008636)". The record is from RNAcentral. Lineage: Eukaryota; Viridiplantae; Streptophyta; Magnoliopsida; Poales; Poaceae.
GCAAUUAUCAAGGUAGCAUAAUUAAUCCCAUAACCACAUGAUCAAUGUAUACAAGAAUUAAGAAUAUCACAUAUAAACAACACAAUAAACCAUCAUUUAUUAUCAUUAUUCACGUUCAUCAGUGUCCAUCUAUUCCGUCAGUUUUCCGGACCGCCCGUAUCCGUGGGCACGGCUAGUAUACCAGAUUUAACACUCUGCAGAGGUUGUACAUCUUUACCCAUGAGUCAUGAUUUACCCUUUCGCCCGAGGUUGCAAGUCUCUUAACCCCCUUCCUAGGGAGGUCGGCAGGGAUCACUAUGAAGCCUUUCAAAGGUUUCGUCUAACAAGUUAGGGCCAUUAGAUUCACUCGGCAGG